UACGGGAGGGGCAAGCGUUAUCCGGCGUGACUAGGCGUAAAGAGUUCGUAGAUUGUAAAAUAAGUUAUUUGUUAAAGAUUAAGGCCCAACCUUAAUAAAAGCUUUUAAUACUGUUUUACUUUGAGUUUUAUACAGAAGAUUAGAAUUUUACAAGGAAGGGUGAUAUCUUUAGAUAUGUAAAAGAAUAUUAAGAGCGAAGGCAAUUCUUUAGUAAAAACUGACAUUGAGGGACGAAAGUAUGGGGAGCAAACAGG
This 254-nucleotide ribosomal RNA is filed under the name uncultured bacterium. RNAcentral describes it as "partial 16S ribosomal RNA". It matches the Rfam family "Bacterial small subunit ribosomal RNA", at positions 524 to 776 of the family's 1533-position model. The record is from RNAcentral.